Molecule: ribosomal RNA, 450 nt
Filed under: uncultured bacterium
Lineage: Bacteria
Description: partial 16S ribosomal RNA
Rfam family: Bacterial small subunit ribosomal RNA
Source: RNAcentral
CCUACGGGGGGCUGCAGUGGGGAAUAUUGGACAAUGGGCGCAAGCCUGAUCCAGCAAUGCCGCGUGUGUGAAGAAGGCCUGCGGGUUGUAAAGCACUUUAAGCAGGAAAGAAGGGGUGGGAGUUAAUACCUUUCAUCAUUGACGUUACCUGCAGAAUAAGCACCGGCUAACUCCGUGCCAGCAGCCGCGGUAAUACGGAGGGUGAAAGCGGGGAUCAGAAUGACUGGGGGUAAAGCGCGCAGUCGCGGGUGAAAGCCCCGGGCUUAACCUGGGAACUGCGGUGGAUACUGUCGGGCUAGAGUGUGGUAGAGGGGAGUGGAAUUUCCGGUGUAGCAGUGAAAUGCGUAGAGAUCGGAAGGAACACCAGUGGCGAAGGCGGCUCCCUGGACUAACACUGACGCUGAGGUGCGAAAGCGUGGGGAGCAAACAGGAUUAGAUACCCCUGUAGUC